CCGCCCUAAAAUAUGAUAUCCUCGCCAGAACAUGCAGCUAAUAUAAACCAUCAUCAACGCUUGGGCGCCCAUGCAUGCCACAAGGCUUCCUCCUCUCUUCUCGGCUUCGAUAAAUUUGUUCACCUUCACCUAUCUCUUCGCUGUUCGCAGCAUUUUCCCUGCCCAUUGGGCCUGAUCAAGUCAAGUUGGAAUAAUUGGGUUAGAUCAGAAGAAAAAAAUCAUAUUAAAAUCUUUGGGUGACCCACGACGCUAACGAGAGCUUGGGUAAUAUAAUCGAGUUUCUUUAAGCAGACCAGCAGGUUGGUUGUGAUCAGGUCUAAUGCAUGUGUCCAGUCAAUUGAAAUCUAUGAGACAUGCGUUACUUGUGGAAAGUGAUUAGAGUAAAAUUUGUUCGCUAUAAUUUUAUACUCUCAAACAGAUUUUCUAUAUCUUGGUCAUCGCGCUCUCCAUCUUUGAAGAGAGAAACUCGAAAUAAAAAAUAUCUAAUUUUGAUAUCCAAUUAAAGAGAUCGUUGGAGGAUAAUCUUUCACUAAAAUCUCUAUCACCAUAAAUAAAUUAGAAAAGAUAUAAAGAUACCUCAAAGUAAGCUCGAUACUCACUGCACGCGCAUGCAUAUGCAGGC
Molecule: long non-coding RNA, 622 nt
Filed under: Sorghum bicolor (sorghum)
Lineage: Eukaryota; Viridiplantae; Streptophyta; Magnoliopsida; Poales; Poaceae
Description: long non-coding RNA (SBIC_LNC001476)
Source: RNAcentral